This 1508-nucleotide ribosomal RNA is filed under the name uncultured bacterium. RNAcentral's name for it is "16S ribosomal RNA". It matches the Rfam family "Bacterial small subunit ribosomal RNA". The record is from RNAcentral.
UAGAGUUUGAUCAUGGCUCAGAUUGAACGCUGGCGGCAGGCCUAACACAUGCAAGUCGAACGGUAACAGGAAGCAGCUUGCUGCUUUGCUGACGAGUGGCGGACGGGUGAGUAAUGUCUGGGAAACUGCCCGGUGGAGGGGGAUAACUACUGGAAACGGUAGCUAAUACCGCAUAACGUCGCAAGACCAAAGAGGGGGACCUUCGGGCCUCUUGCCACCGGAUGUGCCCAGAUGGGAUUAGCUUGUUGGUGAGGUAACGGCUCACCAAGGCGACGAUCCCUAGCUGGUCUGAGAGGAUGACCAGCCACACUGGAACUGAGACACGGUCCAGACUCCUACGGGAGGCAGCAGUGGGGAAUAUUGCACAAUGGGCGCAAGCCUGAUGCAGCCAUGCCGCGUGUAUGAAGAAGGCCUUCGGGUUGUAAAGUACUUUUCAGCGGGGAGGAAGGGAUUGUGGUUAAUAACCGCAGUCAUUGACGUUACCCGCAGAAGAAGCACCGGCUAACUCCGUGCCAGCAGCCGCGGUAAUACGGAGGGUGCAAGCGUUAAUCGGAAUUACUGGGCGUAAAGCGCACGCAGGCGGUCUGUCAAGUCGGAUGUGAAAUCCCCGGGCUCAACCUGGGAACUGCAUUCGAAACUGGCAGGCUUGAGUCUCGUAGAGGGGGGUGGAAUUCCAGGUGUAGCGGUGAAAUGCGUAGAGAUCUGGAGGAAUACCGGUGGCGAAGGCGGCCCCCUGGACGAAGACUGACGCUCAGGUGCGAAAGCGUGGGGAGCAAACAGGAUUAGAUACCCUGGUAGUCCACGCCGUAAACGAUGUCUACUUGGAGGUUGUGCCCCUGAGGCGUGGCUUCCGGAGCUAACGCGUUAAGUAGACCGCCUGGGGAGUACGGCCGCAAGGUUAAAACUCAAAUGAAUUGACGGGGGCCCGCACAAGCGGUGGAGCAUGUGGUUUAAUUCGAUGCAACGCGAAGAACCUUACCUGGUCUUGACAUCCACGGAAGACUGCAGAGAUGCGGUUGUGCCUUCGGGAACCGUGAGACAGGUGCUGCAUGGCUGUCGUCAGCUCGUGUUGUGAAAUGUUGGGUUAAGUCCCGCAACGAGCGCAACCCUUAUCCUUUGUUGCCAGCGGUCCGGCCGGGAACUCAAAGGAGACUGCCAGUGAUAAACUGGAGGAAGGUGGGGAUGACGUCAAGUCAUCAUGGCCCUUACGACCAGGGCUACACACGUGCUACAAUGGCAUAUACAAAGAGAAGCGACCUCGCGAGAGCAAGCGGACCUCAUAAAGUAUGUCGUAGUCCGGAUUGGAGUCUGCAACUCGACUCCAUGAAGUCGGAAUCGCUAGUAAUCGUGGAUCAGAAUGCCACGGUGAAUACGUUCCCGGGCCUUGUACACACCGCCCGUCACACCAUGGGAGUGGGUUGCAAAAGAAGUAGGUAGCUUAACCUCCGGGAGGGCGCUUACCACUUUGUGAUUCAUGACUGGGGUGAAGUCGUAACAAGGUAACCGUA